RNAcentral lists this long non-coding RNA (1279 nucleotides) under Vigna radiata. Its description in RNAcentral is "long non-coding RNA (VRAD_LNC013505)". Lineage: Eukaryota; Viridiplantae; Streptophyta; Magnoliopsida; Fabales; Fabaceae. The record is from RNAcentral.
UCCCAUUGUCACCGACAUCUAGGGGGAUUCAAAAGGUCAGUUGAAAUGUUAACUUGGACGUCGAGUUAGUAACAGAACUGACGUCUAUAGUCAUAUAGACGUCGGCUAUCUAGAGAAACCGACGCCCAGUUUCAUUUUCAAUAGACCGCAAACUCUUCACAGCAUUCAGUUUCUGAUAUCUUCCUCUUCCUCUUCUCCUUUUUCUCUCGCGACACUCUUCUUUUUCUCCCUUUCGACACGUCUUCUUUUUGUUACGGCAUUCUAUUGUUGUUUGUGAUAUCUUUAUCGUCUUCCUCCUCUCUUUUUCUCUCUUGCGACAUUGCAUCCCAGGUGCGUGGUUUUUUAUUUAUGCUUACCGUUUGUUUAGUCUUUCAUCGAUUAUCUUCUGGUUCAACUGAUUAACAUUUGUUUUCUUUGUGUUGUGUUUUAUUGCAGUUUUGUUCCAUUCAAACCAGUGUCGACGUCUAUUUACGUCGUUCGUGGGCACUAACUGACGUCACUAUAUACGUCUGUGGUUAGGAUGUCGGACGUCCCAUUGGCAUCACCGGUUUAGAUGUCGGUUUAUGAAUAGACGUUAAAAGCCCAAAAUAACCAACAUUAAACAGCGUUUUUGCACUAGUGAUCAAACUAUAUCAUAAAAAACAAUUUGCAGAUAAGUCAAAAUCUGACAACUUCAUGAUGAUAAAAAGAAACAUCAUAUAAAAGUUAUACAACUCUUACCGGCUGCUUCUCAUCUUGAAAUGUGGUUGGUGUUGAAACUCCUACCUAGAGGUAAAGAAAAACUAGGGUUUGAAUAAAAGGAAAGCAAAUAGUAGCAACAUACUUAGGAAGAAGAAAAUAAAAUCCAGAAUCAAAACAGAUCAAUCAACUUAUGUAGGGAUGGGCAAAUAGAACUGAAGUGUACUGUACUACUAAAAUAUGUACUGAACUAAAAACUAAUAUGUCUAAACUGAAAUGUAAAGAUAAAUUGAACUGUUUUCUGUUUUAUUUGAACUGAACUUGAACUACACUAAAUUAUACUAAAUUAUAAUAUAAACUGAACGGAACUAUUGACCAUACUAAUUUUAAACUUUUAGUUUUUAAACUGAAUAGUAUAACAAUACAUGUUCUUUUAAUUGAAAUUUAUUUUAAUAUUUAUUUUAUUCAUAAGUGUCUUACAAAUUAUUUUUUUAAUUAUUUGAUAUUAUUAUUUUUUAUUUAUAUUUAUAUUUCUUUUGUUAUUAUAUGUGGAUGGAAAUUAUUUUAUUUUAGUUUUUAUUUAUUUUAUUUUUUUUUAUUU